Molecule: ribosomal RNA, 917 nt
Filed under: Chorioptes sp. SW-2010a
Lineage: Eukaryota; Metazoa; Arthropoda; Arachnida; Sarcoptiformes; Psoroptidae
Description: bacterial SSU rRNA
Rfam family: Eukaryotic small subunit ribosomal RNA
Source: RNAcentral
AGUUGUUGUGGUUAAAAAGCUCGUAGUUGGAUCUCAGCUUAUUCGUCAUGGUCCACUUGACGGUGGUUACUGUGGUGAUGAGCAAUUUAUCGCAUUGUCUUAUGGUGUUCUUAAUUGAAUGUCAUAAGCGAUCGAUACGUUUACUUUGAAAAAAUUAGAGUGCUCAAAGCAGGCAUUAUUUGCCUGAAUACUGUUGCAUGGAAUAAUAGAAUAGGACCUUGGUUCUGUUCUGUUGGUCUUCGGAAUCGAGGUAAUGAUUAAGAGGGACGGACGGGGACAUUAGUACUGCGGCGAUAGAGGUGAAAUUCUUGGACCGCCGCAUGACUAACAAAAGCGAAAGCAUUUGUCAAGAACGUUUUCAUUAAUCAAGAACGAAAGUUAGAGGUUCGAAGGCGAUCAGAUACCGCCCUAGUUCUAACCAUAAACGAUGCCAACCAGCAAUCAGCCAGAGUUAAUUGUAUGACUCGGCUGGCGGCUUCCGGGAAACCAAAGUUUUUCGGUUCCAGGGGAAGUAUGGUUGCAAAGCUGAAACUUAAAGGAAUUGACGGAAGGGCACCACCAGGAGUGGAGCCUGCGGCUUAAUUUGACUCAACACGGGAAAACUCACCCGGUCCGGACACUGGAAGGAUUGACAGAUUAAGAGCUCUUUCUUGAUUCAGUGGGUGGUGGUGCAUGGCCGUUCUUAGUUGGUGGAGCGAUUUGUCUGGUUAAUUCCGAUAACGAACGAGACUCUAGCCUACUAAAUAGUGUUGUAUACCUUCGGUUAUAUGCGAACACUUCUUAGAGGGACAAAGGGCGUUUCAGCCCAUAAGAAAAAGAUAAAAAACAGGUCUGUGAUUCUCUUAUUUUCUGGGGCUGCCGCCCUCUACCUAAAAACAGCAGAUGAAUUUUGUUUUCUCUCUCCAAAAGGGUGGAAA